GACGAACGCUGGCGGCGUGCUUAACACAUGCAAGUCGAGCGGUAAGGCCCUUUCGGGGUACGACGAGCGGCGAACGGGUGAGUAACACGUGGGUGACCUGCCCUCAGCUCUGGGAGUAAGCCCGGGAAACUGGGUCUAAUACCGGAUAUGACUUCAUGACGCAUGUUGUGGAGUGGAAAGCCUUGUGCGGCUGAGGAUGGGCCCGCGGCCUAUCAGCUUGUUGGUGGGGGAUGGCCUACCAAGGCGACGACGGGUAGCCGGCCUGAGAGGGCGACCGGCCACACUGGGACUGAGACACGGCCCAGACUCCUACGGGAGGCAGCAGUGGGGAAUCUUGCGCAAUGGGCGAAAGCCUGACGCAGCGACGCCGCGUGAGGGAUGACGGCC
RNAcentral lists this ribosomal RNA (387 nucleotides) under uncultured bacterium. RNAcentral's name for it is "bacterial SSU rRNA". It matches the Rfam family "Bacterial small subunit ribosomal RNA", at positions 28 to 416 of the family's 1533-position model. The record is from RNAcentral.